This 732-nucleotide ribosomal RNA is filed under the name uncultured Corynebacterium sp. RNAcentral's name for it is "bacterial SSU rRNA". It matches the Rfam family "Bacterial small subunit ribosomal RNA", at positions 28 to 776 of the family's 1533-position model. Lineage: Bacteria; Bacillati; Actinomycetota; Actinomycetes; Mycobacteriales; Corynebacteriaceae. The record is from RNAcentral.
GACGAACGCUGGCGGCGUGCUUAACACAUGCAAGUCGAACGGAAAGGCCUUUUCGGAGGUACUCGAGUGGCGAACGGGUGAGUAACACGUGGGUGAUCUGCCCUGCACUCUGGGAUAAGCCUGGGAAACUGGGUCUAAUGCCGGAUAGGACCGCACUUUAGUGUGUGUGGUGGAAAGUUUUUUCGGUGUAGGAUGAGCCCGCGGCCUAUCAGCUUGUUGGUGGGGUAAUGGCCUACCAAGGCGGCGACGGGUAGCCGGACUGAGAGGUUGGUCGGCCACAUUGGGACUGAGAUACGGCCCAGACUCCUACGGGAGGCAGCAGUGGGGAAUAUUGCACAAUGGGCGCAAGCCUGAUGCAGCGACGCCGCGUGGGGGAUGACGGCCUUCGGGUUGUAAACUCCUUUCGCCAGGGACGAAGCGUUUUGUGACGGUACCUGGAGAAGAAGCACCGGCUAACUACGUGCCAGCAGCCGCGGUAAUACGUAGGGUGCAAGCGUUGUCCGGAAUUACUGGGCGUAAAGAGCUCGUAGGUGGUUUGUCACGUCGUCUGUGAAAUUCCACAGCUUAACUGUGGGCGUGCAGGCGAUACGGGCUGACUUGAGUACUGUAGGGGUAACUGGAAUUCCUGGUGUAGCGGUGAAAUGCGCAGAUAUCAGGAGGAACACCGAUGGCGAAGGCAGGUUACUGGGCAGUUACUGACGCUGAGGAGCGAAAGCAUGGGUAGCAAACAGG